CUAGGGUUGACAGGAGCAACAAGGAGCAAUUGGAGCAGUCAGCCAUAUUGGGAGUUCAACCAGCAGCAGAAUUGAGACAAGAUGAAUUUGAUUCAAGAUGACGGUAUUGAACUCGAAAGGUAUUGGGAAAUAAACAUCAGUCAACAGCAUGUAGAUCAAAGAGCAUUCUUGCAUUUUCCUACAAUAAUAAGUAAGGCUUUCUUAACACCGCAACAACGACGCAUUAGUAUGGUUCUUCAGAACACAAAUAUUUCCGUUGAUUGUGAAAUUCGAAUGGCCGCAAGAAAUCAACAUGAGAGGUACAUAUCUGUAGGUUUUAAUACAUUUCUAAAUGUUGCUAACAUACAACCUGGCUCAAGAUGUCGCUUCACUUUAGAGGAUCCACCUCAAGUCUUGAAUGUUGUUGUCAUGGAUCAACAACAGUAAUUGUAUUAUGUCAAAUAAACUUAUCAUGGCUAAUGUG
Long non-coding RNA from Trifolium pratense (red clover), 463 nucleotides. RefSeq lists it as uncharacterized. The record is from RefSeq and is a predicted model, not a curated record. NCBI's taxonomy places the organism in Eukaryota, Viridiplantae, Streptophyta, Magnoliopsida, Fabales, Fabaceae. The transcript is spliced from 3 exons.